AGCAGCCGCGGUAAUUCCAGCUCCAAUAGCGUAUAUUAAAGUUGUUGCAGUUAAAAAGCUCGUAGUUGAAUUUCGGGAUCAAUAUAUCGGUCGUGCCUUUGGUACGUACUGGUAUCAUUGAUUUCUCCUUUCUGACGAAUCAUGAUGUCAUUAAUUUGGUGUUAUGAGGAGUUAGGACUGUUACUUUGAAAAAUUAGAGUGUUUAAAGCAGGCAUUAGCUUGAAUACAUUAGCAUGGAAUAAUGAAAUAGGACGUUUGACCCUAUUUUGUUGGUUUUUAGGAUCGACGUAAUGAUUAAUAGGGAUAGUUGGGGGCAUUAGUAUUCAAUUGUCAGAGGUGAAAUUCUU
Molecule: ribosomal RNA, 347 nt
Filed under: uncultured Glomus
Lineage: Eukaryota; Fungi; Glomeromycota; Glomeromycetes; Glomerales; Glomeraceae
Description: SSU rRNA
Rfam family: Eukaryotic small subunit ribosomal RNA
Source: RNAcentral